This 274-nucleotide ribosomal RNA is filed under the name uncultured bacterium. RNAcentral describes it as "partial 16S ribosomal RNA". It matches the Rfam family "Bacterial small subunit ribosomal RNA", at positions 523 to 796 of the family's 1533-position model. The record is from RNAcentral.
AUACGGAGGGGGCAAGCGUUGUUCGGAAUUACUGGGCGUAAAGGGCGCGCAGGCGGUUUUGUUAGUCAGGCGUGAAAUCCCCGGGCUCAACCCGGGAACUGCGUUUGAUACUGCGGAACUAGAGAUCGGGAGAGGGUAGUGGAAUUCCCAGUGUAGAGGUGAAAUUCGUAGAUAUUGGGAAGAACACCAGUGGCGAAGGCGGCUACCUGGACCGACACUGACGCUGAGGCGCGAAAGCGUGGGGAGCAAACAGGAUUAGAAACCCCUGUAGUCC